This is a long non-coding RNA of Ictalurus punctatus (channel catfish), 2613 nucleotides long. The record is from Ensembl. NCBI's taxonomy places the organism in Eukaryota, Metazoa, Chordata, Actinopteri, Siluriformes, Ictaluridae.
UUGGCUUCACUCUGCCCAUGUUUGACAUUUUUUCCUACAUUCUUUUGAAUGUCUAGGGAAUAACAUAAAAUAUCAGAUCCCACGAGUGAACCUUCUACCAUCAUUUACACAUGACUGGCCAUGUAAUACAAAGCAAUGUGAUAACGUGAAAUUAAAAAUGACCUUAUAUGGCGACAGGCAUUAUUUCGACUCAACUGUUCAACAACAAGGAACUGUACAGUUAGAUAUCAGAGAGAGGACAGGAGCAACACGUUUCUGUGCCAACUGUGGAGUCUGUUUAAUAGCCAAAGGCAGCACUCUCUCUCUCUCUCUCUCUCUCCCACACACACACACACACACACACACACACAAAGGAAGCGAGAAAGCACAAACAGCAGUCCAGACAAGUCCAAACAUUAAGGUCAGUAUCUGACAGUAGCUGUGCCAACGCUGAUAUAAAUGUUACUUAAGUGCCUGAGUCUCUGUCUCACUCGCUCUCCCUCUCUCCCACACACACACACACACACACACACACACACACACACACACACAGACGUAUGCAUCUCUCAUGGUGAGUCAGCUCAAAGCUGCUUGCACAGUGAAACUAUCCUUGGUUAAUCUGUUUUACGUCCCGAGCAACUUUAAGGGCAACAGUGCUGGAGAAGGACAUCCACGUGUGUGUCUGGCGGAAAUCAGAGCCUCUUCCUCUACGAGUGGAAACACACUAUGACAUCAUCCAAAACAACACGAGGGGAUUCAACCCCUGGUCCUGUAGGAGAUAACCCAAAUAUUGGAUUGACCAGUCUAAAACCUUCACUUUUCCCCCACUGAUGAAGGCCUAUGUUGAGUUGGCAGUGUGUUUUGGGUCACUUAUAAAAUUCCUCCUGAUUAAUUUGGAUGGGCAGAGAAUGUUUCUGUAAACUUCUGAAUUCAUUCUGCGGCUACCAUCAUGAGUUCCAUCAUCAAUAAAGAUUAGCGAGACUGUUCCAGAAGCAGCCAUACAAACCCAAGCCGUGACACUACCAACAACUCAGUCACCUGAACUGCAUAGUGCAUUUGUCUCUUCAUUAUGGUGUCCAUGUUCUGGGUGUGACAGUGUGGUGACCCCUUAAAAAAAUUGGGGUUCAGUAACAGUAAUCCAACAGGUAUUUCUCCUAAAGGAGUCAUUCAUGGGUUAUUUUUGAGAUCCUUUUUCAACAGGUUAGUGUUGGAGCCUCUACAAGGUUUGGUGUUAAAACUGUUUCAGGAACCCCCAACCUAAAUGUCCCUUUCAAUAAUGUACAGGUGCGUCUAAAAGAAAUUUGAAUACUGUGGAAUUAUUAUUUUUCACCAUGUUUCACAGAUGAACUUGUAUGUUUUGGAUCAUGAGCAGAUCCUUUCUUUCGGCACACUUUGGCCUUGGUUCCAGAACUCUUGUGGCUCAUCUCUAUAUUUCUCUGCAAAUUCCAAUCUGGCGUUCCAGUUCUUACUGCUGAUGAGUGGUUUGUAGUAUGACUUCUAUAUGUCUGCUCUUGAAGUCUUCUUCGAACAGUAGAUUGUGAUACCUUCACCCCUGCCCUGUGGAGGUUGUUGGUGAUGUCACUGACUGUUGUUAUGGGGUUUUUCUCCACAGCUCUCACAAUGUUUCUGACAUCAACUGUUGUUAUUUUCAUUGGCCGACCCAAUUUGUGUCUGUCUGUCCAAAUUGUCGCAUUGGCUAUGCCCGAUGCUUGUGCUAUGCCUCUGAUUGGUUUCCCCUCUUUUCUUUGACACUAAAGCCUAAAAUCAAGCGUAGAUGUUCAGAACUAGUUAUUCUUUAUACAAUCAAUCUAACAGUACACACCUGGGUAACACCUGUCAGUCACAUGUUCCAAUAUUUUUGCUCACUUACAAAAUUAUACAAAAUGUGCUAUGUUCUAUGUCACACAUCUACAUAUAAAUACCCGGAAAAUAAAUACCAGGAAAUUCAUCUUUUGAUCUCACGCCUAAAUGUCUUCAGUCUACAGCAAAAACAAAUUAUUUGAACUUGCCGUUUCAACAGUUUCAGAGGGGACUGUAAGCUAAUAACUGAAACUAAACUCAUUUUUCUACAUAAUUCAGAGAAGCAGCUCUUUCCGGCAUGCUUUUUAAACUUUCAUGGCUGUCUCAGAAUUAUGAGACAAAGCUGUGCCUUCAGUGAAAGAGAGAUAUGCAGCAUUCAAAUUUGCUGCCUCCCAAAUGAACUGCAGGGAUAGCGGAAGGUCCACGAUAAUCUUUAUCAUGAUACCCAAAAACAUGAAAUGUUGGAUUACAGAUUAUUAGCACAUGGCCAAAUCUAACAGAAUGGUGGGGAAAUAUUACAUUCUUAGUUAUAUUAUAAUCUGACAUUUCAAUUAAAAAUAAGAAUGAAAUAAAUAUAAACUCUAACACACAUUACUAAAGAUAAAUAAAAACGUUAGGCUAGGGGUAUAUAAUUAUUAGUAUAACCUCUUAAACGUCCAGUAAGUAUUUCAGUUAUUCAGACUAAAGCAUAAUAUUCAGUAGCUACUAUGAAUUCAGAAAUGUGCGUAGUUAGUGGGUUGAACAUUGCCCUUGAAUUUGAAUGAAGUUGUUAAACAAAUCAAUAUUGAAAUGCUUCUGAACAUUAAUGAGCCCAUAACUUUCUGCUAAAUAAAC